AUUGAACGCUGGCGGCAGGCCUAACACAUACAAGUCGAGCGGAUGAAGGGAGCUUGCUCCUGGAUUCAGCGGCGGACGGGUGAGUAAUGCCUAGGAAUCUGCCUGGUAGUGGGGGAUAACGUCCGGAAACGGGCGCUAAUACCGCAUACGUCCUGAGGGAGAAAGUGGGGGAUCUUCGGACCUCACGCUAUCAGAUGAGCCUAGGUCGGAUUAGCUAGUUGGUGGGGUAAAGGCCUACCAAGGCGACGAUCCGUAACUGGUCUGAGAGGAUGAUCAGUCACACUGGAACUGAGACACGGUCCAGACUUCUACGGGAGGCAGCAGUGGGGAAUAUUGGACAAUGGGCGAAAGCCUGAUCCAGCCAUGCCGCGUGUGUGAAGAAGGUCUUCGGAUUGUAAAGCACUUUAAGUUGGGAGGAAGGGCAGUAAGUUAAUACCUUGCUGUUUUGACGUUACCAACAGAAUAAGCACCGGCUAACUUCGUG
RNAcentral lists this ribosomal RNA (484 nucleotides) under uncultured bacterium. Its description in RNAcentral is "partial 16S ribosomal RNA". It matches the Rfam family "Bacterial small subunit ribosomal RNA", at positions 30 to 507 of the family's 1533-position model. The record is from RNAcentral.